RNAcentral lists this ribosomal RNA (225 nucleotides) under uncultured Erysipelothrix sp. RNAcentral's name for it is "partial 16S ribosomal RNA". It matches the Rfam family "Bacterial small subunit ribosomal RNA", at positions 1159 to 1382 of the family's 1533-position model. The record is from RNAcentral. Lineage: Bacteria; Bacillati; Bacillota; Erysipelotrichia; Erysipelotrichales; Erysipelotrichaceae.
UAAACCGGAGGAAGGUGGGGAUGACGUCAAAUCAUCAUGCCCCUUAUGGCCUGGGCUACAAACGUAAUACAAUGGCGUAUACAAAGGGAUGCGAAAGGGCGACCUGGAGCAAAACUCACAAAGUACGUCUCAGUUCAGAUUGGAGUCUGCAACUCGACUCCAUGAAGGCGGAAUCGCUAGUAAUCGCGGAUCAGCAUGCCGCGGUGAAUACGUUCUCCGGGGUUU